Molecule: ribosomal RNA, 496 nt
Filed under: uncultured bacterium
Lineage: Bacteria
Description: partial 16S ribosomal RNA
Rfam family: Bacterial small subunit ribosomal RNA
Source: RNAcentral
ACUCAAAGGAAUAGACGGGGGCCCGCACAAGCAGCGGAGCAUGUGGUUUAAUUCGAAGCAACGCGAAGAACCUUACCUAGACUUGACAUCUCCUGCAUUACCCUUAAUCGGGGAAGUUCCUUCGGGAACAGGAAGACAGGUGGUGCAUGGUUGUCGUCAGCUCGUGUCGUGAGAUGUUGGGUUAAGUCCCGCAACGAGCGCAACCCUUAUUGUUAGUUGCUACCAUUUAGUUGAGCACUCUAGCGAGACUGCCCGGGUUAACCGGGAGGAAGGUGGGGAUGACGUCAAAUCAUCAUGCCCCUUAUGUCUAGGGCUACACACGUGCUACAAUGGCAAGUACAAAGAGAAGCAAGACCGCGAGGUGGAGCAAAACUCAAAAACUUGUCUCAGUUCGGAUUGUAGGCUGAAACUCGCCUACAUGAAGCUGGAGUUGCUAGUAAUCGCGAAUCAGCAUGUCGCGGUGAAUACGUUCCCGGGCCUUGCACACACCGCCCGU